This 330-nucleotide long non-coding RNA is filed under the name Linum usitatissimum (flax). RNAcentral's name for it is "long non-coding RNA (LUSI_LNC001107)". The record is from RNAcentral. Lineage: Eukaryota; Viridiplantae; Streptophyta; Magnoliopsida; Malpighiales; Linaceae.
CUGGUAUGAGUAAGCAGUUCUUCCCUCUCAAUAAUAAUAAUAAUUCCUCCAACAGCUCAUCGUCUUGCUCGGAUGAAGUGGGGAAUCUGGAGAUGAUUGAGAAAGGGAAGAGGAGGAGGAAUAAGGUUAUUGAUGUUGGAGAAGAUGAGAGCUUGAUGGUGAAUGGUCAUCAGGAGGAGGAAGCUGCUACUCUUAGCUUGAAGCUUGGUGGUCAUGGUGGCGGAGAGAUGGUCAACUGGGAAGGAAACAGCAGUGGGAAGAAGGCUAAGUUGACUGGUGGAGGAGGUAACAACAAUAACAGCUCGUCUUCGAGUCGUGCAGUUUGUCAAG